GCCCGAUGUCUGAUUAGCUAGUUGGUGAGGUAAAGGCUCACCAAGGCGACGAUGAGUAGCUGACCUGAGAGGAUGAUCAGCCACACUGGGACUGAGACACGGCCCAGACUCUACGGGAGGCAGCAGUGGGGAAUUUUGGACAAUGGGCGAAAGUCUGAUCCAGCAAUGCCGCGUGUGUGAAGAAGGCUUUCGGGUUGUAAAGCUCUUUUGUCCGGAAAGAACUGGCUCUGUUUAAUUCCGGGGGUAGAUGACGGUACCGGAAGAAUAAGGACCGGCUAAAUACGUGCCAGCAGCCGCGGUAAUACGUAGGGUGCCAGCGUUAAUCGGAAUUUAUGGGCGUAAAGCGUGCGCAGGCGGUUGUGCAAGACCGGUGUGAAAUCCCCGAGCUUAACUUGGGAAUUGCACUGGUGAAUGCACGGCUAGAGUGUGUCAGAGGGGGGUAGAAUUUCACGUGUAGCAGUGAAAUGCGUAGAGAUGUGGAGGAAUACCGAUGGCGAAGGCAGCCCCUUGGGAUAACAAUGACGCUCAUGCAGGAAAGCGUGGGGAGCAAACCGGAUUAGAUUCCCUGGUAGUUCCCGCCCUUAACGAUGUCAAGUUGUUGUUGGGGAUUCAUUUCCUUAGUAACGUAGCUAACGCGUGAAUUUGACCUCCUGGGGAGUACGGUCGCAAGAUUAAAACUCAAAGGAAUUGACGGGGACCCGCACAACCGGUGGAUGAUGUGGAUUAAUUCGAUGCAACGCGAAAAACCUUACCUACCCUUGACAACCACUAACGAAGCAGAGAUGCUUUGGGUUCUCCAAAGAGAAAGGGACACAGG
RNAcentral lists this ribosomal RNA (817 nucleotides) under Ralstonia pickettii. RNAcentral describes it as "bacterial SSU rRNA". It matches the Rfam family "Bacterial small subunit ribosomal RNA", at positions 228 to 1038 of the family's 1533-position model. The record is from RNAcentral. Lineage: Bacteria; Pseudomonadati; Pseudomonadota; Betaproteobacteria; Burkholderiales; Burkholderiaceae.